This 442-nucleotide ribosomal RNA is filed under the name uncultured bacterium. RNAcentral's name for it is "partial 16S ribosomal RNA". It matches the Rfam family "Bacterial small subunit ribosomal RNA", at positions 338 to 795 of the family's 1533-position model. The record is from RNAcentral.
CCUACGGGCGGCAGCAGUGGGGAAUAUUGCACAAUGGGCGAAAGCCUGAUGCAGCAACGCCGCGUGAAAGAAGAAGGCUCUGGGGUCGUAAAGUUCUGUUCUGAGGGAAGAAGAAAGUGACGGUACCUCAGGAGAAAGCCACGGCUAACUACGUGCCAGCAGCCGCGGUAAUACGUCGGGGGCAAGCUUUGUCCGGAAUUAGUGGGCGUAAAGAGUACGGAGGCGGUCUGUUAAGCGCAAGGUUAAAGGCGUAGGCUCAACCAAUGUGAGCCUUGCGAACGGGCAGACUUGAGUGCAGGAGCGGACAGCGGAAUUCCUCUUGUAGCGGUGAUCUGCGUAGAUCUUAGGCGGAACACCGGUGGCGAAGGCGGCUUUCUGGACUGAAACUGACGCUGAGGUACGACAGCGUGGGGAGCAAACAGGCUUAGAUACCCUUGUAGUC